This 76-nucleotide transfer RNA is filed under the name Candidatus Woesearchaeota archaeon. RNAcentral's name for it is "tRNA-Val". It matches the Rfam family "tRNA". Rfam says of the family: Transfer RNA (tRNA) molecules are approximately 80 nucleotides in length. Their secondary structure includes four short double-helical elements and three loops (D, anti-codon, and T loops). The record is from RNAcentral. Lineage: Archaea; Nanobdellati; Candidatus Woesearchaeota.
GGGCUCAUGGUCUAGUGGCUAUGACAGUGCCCUUACAAGGCAUUGAUCCCCGGUUCGAGUCCGGGUGAGCCCACCA